RNAcentral lists this ribosomal RNA (427 nucleotides) under uncultured bacterium. Its description in RNAcentral is "partial 16S ribosomal RNA". It matches the Rfam family "Bacterial small subunit ribosomal RNA", at positions 355 to 774 of the family's 1533-position model. The record is from RNAcentral.
UGGGGAAUAUUGGACAAUGGGCGAAAGCCUGAUCCAGCCAUGCCGCGUGUGUGAAGAAGGUCUUCGGAUUGUAAAGCACUUUAAGUUGGGAGGAAGGGCAUUAACCUAAUACGUUAGUGUUUUGACGUUACCGACAGAAUAAGCACCGGCUAACUCUGUGACAGCAGCCGCGGUAAUACAGAGGGUGCAAGCGUUAAUCGGAAUUACUGGUCGUAAAGCGCGCGUAGGUGGUUUGUUAAGUUGGAUGUGAAAUCCCCGGGCUCAACCUGGGAACUGCAUUCAAAACUGACUGACUAGAGUAUGGUAGAGGGCGGUGGAAUUUCCUGUGUAGCGGUGAAAUGCGUAGAUAUAGGAAGGAACACCAGUGGCGAAGGCGACCACCUGGACUAAUACUGACACUGAGGUGCGAAAGCGUGGGGAGCAAACA